Molecule: ribosomal RNA, 497 nt
Filed under: uncultured bacterium
Lineage: Bacteria
Description: partial 16S ribosomal RNA
Rfam family: Bacterial small subunit ribosomal RNA
Source: RNAcentral
GAUGAACGCUGGCGGCGUGCCUAAUACAUGCAAGUCGAGCGAACGGACGAGAAGCUUGCUUCUCUGAUGUUAGCGGCGGACGGGUGAGUAACACGUAGAUAACCUACCUAUAAGACUGGGAUAACUUCGGGAAACCGGAGCUAAUACCGGAUAAUAUUUUGAACCGCAUGGUUCAAAAGUGAAAGACGGUCUUGCUGUCACUUAUAGAUGGAUCCGCGCUGCAUUAGCUAGUUGGUAAGGUAACGGCUUACCAAGGCAACGAUGCAUAGCCGACCUGAGAGGGUGAUCGGCCACACUGGAACUGAGACACGGUCCAGACUCCUACGGGAGGCAGCAGUAGGGAAUCUUCCGCAAUGGGCGAAAGCCUGACGAAGCAACGCCGCGUGAGUGAUGAAGGUCUUCGGAUCGUAAAACUCUGUUAUUAGGGAAGAACAUAUGUGUAAGUAACUGUGCACAUCUUGACGGUACCUAAUCAGAAAGCCACGGCUAACUACGUG